UACGUAAGGGGCAAGCGGUUGUUCGGAAUCAUUGGGCGUAAAGGGCGCGUAGGUGGUUCUGUAUUGUCUACCGUGAAAGCAUACAGCUCAACUGUAUUUUGUCGGUAGAAACUGCAGGACUUGAGGCUGGGAGGGGCUGGUGGAAUUCCCUGUGUAGCGGUGAAAUGCGUAGAGAGUGGGGAGAACACUCGUGGCGAAGGCGGCCAGCUAGACCAGUUCUGACACUGAGGCGCGACAGCGUGGGGGAGCAAACAGG
RNAcentral lists this ribosomal RNA (256 nucleotides) under uncultured bacterium. Its description in RNAcentral is "partial 16S ribosomal RNA". It matches the Rfam family "Bacterial small subunit ribosomal RNA", at positions 524 to 776 of the family's 1533-position model. The record is from RNAcentral.